This is a long non-coding RNA of Amblyraja radiata (thorny skate), 83 nucleotides long. RefSeq lists it as uncharacterized. NCBI's taxonomy places the organism in Eukaryota, Metazoa, Chordata, Chondrichthyes, Rajiformes, Rajidae. The transcript has 3 exons. The record is from RefSeq and is a predicted model, not a curated record.
UCCUUACACGGAAAUAAGGCCCAAAACUGCUCCAAAUUUUCCAAAUGCUGUCCAACCAGUGUUGUACAAAGCCUCAGCAUUAC